Molecule: ribosomal RNA, 250 nt
Filed under: uncultured prokaryote
Description: partial 16S ribosomal RNA
Rfam family: Bacterial small subunit ribosomal RNA
Source: RNAcentral
UACAUAGGGUGCUAGCGUUGCUCGGAAUAACUGGGCGUAAAGCACAUGUAGGAGGACAUAAAAGUUAAAAGUGCAAUCCCCGAGCUCAACUCGGGAACUGCUUUUAAUACUAUAUGUCUGGAGGAAGAUAGAGAAUGAUGGAAUUCUUGGUGGAGGGGUUAAAUCCGUAGAUAUCAAGAGGAACACCGAAAGCGAAAGCAGUCAUUUGGGUCUUUCCUGACUCUGAGAUGUGAAGGCGUGGGGAGCAAAC